GACGAACGCUGGCGGCGUGCUUAACACAUGCAAGUCGAACGGAAAGGCCCUGCUUUUGUGGGGUGCUCGAGUGGCGAACGGGUGAGUAACACGUGAGUAACCUGCCCUUGACUUUGGGAUAACUUCAGGAAACUGGGGCUAAUACCGGAUAGGAGCUCCUGCUGCAUGGUGGGGGUUGGAAAGUUUCGGCGGUUGGGGAUGGACGCGCGGCUUAUCAGCUUGUUGGUGGGGUAGUGGCUUACCAAGGCUUUGACGGGUAGCCGGCCUGAGAGGGUGACCGGCCACAUUGGGACUGCGGUACGGCCCAGACUCCUACGGGAGGCAGCAGUGGGGAAUAUUGCACAAUGGGCGGAAGCCUGAUGCAGCAACGCCGCGUGCGGGAUGACGGCCUUCGGGUUGUAAACCGCUUUCGCCUGUGACGAAGCGUGAGUGACGGUAAUGGGUAAAGAAGCACCGGCUAACUACGUG
RNAcentral lists this ribosomal RNA (468 nucleotides) under uncultured bacterium. Its description in RNAcentral is "partial 16S ribosomal RNA". It matches the Rfam family "Bacterial small subunit ribosomal RNA", at positions 28 to 507 of the family's 1533-position model. The record is from RNAcentral.